GGAGAGAUACCCAAGUAGGCUGAAGGGGCGGGUUUGCUAAACCUGUAGUAGGGAAUACUCCCUAGCGAGGGUUCGAAUCCCUCUCUCUCCGCCA
Molecule: transfer RNA, 94 nt
Filed under: Orenia metallireducens
Lineage: Bacteria; Bacillati; Bacillota; Clostridia; Halanaerobiales; Halobacteroidaceae
Description: tRNA-Ser
Rfam family: tRNA
About the family: Transfer RNA (tRNA) molecules are approximately 80 nucleotides in length. Their secondary structure includes four short double-helical elements and three loops (D, anti-codon, and T loops).
Source: RNAcentral